UGUCCAGUGAUGGGAAUCGAACCCACAAUGUUCCGCUUACCGGGCAGAUGCCAUGUCCACUAGGCUACCCUGGAC
Cordylochernes scorpioides is the source of this 75-nucleotide non-coding RNA. Lineage: Eukaryota; Metazoa; Arthropoda; Arachnida; Pseudoscorpiones; Chernetidae. The record is from the annotation of a GenBank genome assembly.